RNAcentral lists this long non-coding RNA (1390 nucleotides) under Mustela putorius furo (domestic ferret). RNAcentral describes it as "lncRNA (ENSMPUG00000032010.1)". Lineage: Eukaryota; Metazoa; Chordata; Mammalia; Carnivora; Mustelidae. The record is from RNAcentral.
GAAAUCCUCAGUUGGGUGAAGCCUAAAAGGAAUCCCCCAUCCUUUUAUGGAGGGGAUGGGGUACCUUGUCAACUCCAGACUGACCCAACCCUUCCUCUCUGGAAAACUUAGAGACACCCAAGGCAGUGUUGGGCAAACGGGGACAGCAAAGGCCAGGGAGCCGUUGCCUUCCUGGCCUCAGAAGGAAGAGAAGAGAGAUCAGCCUCCUCACUAGCCCUGGGGAAAAUACCCUUUCUGUGAGCAAAUCAUCACGAAUGCAGAAAGCCCUGGCUUCUUGGUCACCCUGCACAGUUUACCGUAACUUGAGUCGACCCUAACCAGCCGCAGCCGCCUCUGCGAGUCUGGACUUGUGGGUCAGGCAGGCUGGGCUUGUUCUCUACUCUGUAAUUUUUGUAAGCCUGGGCAUAUCAAAAGGUCCUUCUGGACCUUCACUUUCUCCACUAUAAAAUGGGUUCAUAAUCACUGCCUUGCCCAACUGUACUUGAGAUGAAAUAAGAUAGUCUAUGUAAAAGGACUAAUAGCAUUUUUCAUAGAUAAUAAAUGAGAGAACCUUACUGAUGUUAAUAAGAUUCCACAUCAAAAUGAGUUCCAUCCACAAAAAUGACAUCAAAUAGAUUGAAAUCUAGAAGAUAGAUGUCUAGAAGACAGAUGAAGACCAACCUAGAAGUGCCUUGAGAUGAAGAGAGUGAUGCUCUUGGGGACCUCUUGCAAGUGAGGCUGUGUGUAGAGUGUGCUCAGUAGAAACAAAGGAAGAAAGAACAGCAAAUGACCUAUUUGGGGCAAAGAAAGAGGCAGAAGAGGCGUGUCCUGGCUCAGGACUAUCAGGCAUCACCCCAUGAGAGGUUCGCAGCCCUCAGUAUGACCUCUUCCUGCUAUCCUAUGUCUUUGGCAUCAGAGAGGACCCUUCUUUGCCACAGCCAAGUCAACAAUGGCUCCGCAGUAGGAGGGCACUGCAUUUAUGUGGCUGUGUUAUCCACGCCUCGUGGACGUCAUCCCCUGCAACUUUCUUGCAGAUAUCCAUGUAGGUGCCAUCUUUGUGGCAGGUUCUGAUCCCAGUGCUGAGGACACAGAGGUAGGUGAACCACACCCAAAGCAUAAGGAAUAUCUACGAGGCAAAAAGACCCCUCUGUCACACAAGGAAGUCAUUCUCCCUCUGCAGUUGAGUGAGGGGCAGCUCCUGACUUCCUUGUCUGGGAGACUUCGUGCUCCCUACACAGUGCUGAGCAAAGUUGUUGUCACCCUGAAGUUCCUCAUCCUCAGUGAAGACCCGAUCCUACAUACACACAAACACAGGCACCUACCCUAGACAUACAAGCUGGUAAAAUACUCAUCUCUGUCCUAUAUGCUUCUUUUUUAAAAAUAGGGGAAAAAUGCAUUGGUAGCAAUAAAC